GACGAACGCUGGCGGCGUGCCUAAUACAUGCAAGUCGAACGCAGUGGGGACGGGUGAGUAACCCGUGGGUAACCUCCCAUCAGAGGGGAUAACACUUGGAAACAGGUGCUAAACCGAUACUGAUGGAUGGACCCGGGGUGCAUUAGGUAGUUGGUGGGGGGACGGCUCACCAAGGCCACGAAGCAUAGCGGACCUGAGGGGGGGUUGGGCGACACUGGGACUGGGAACCGGCCCAGACUCCUACGUGAGGCAGCAGUAGGGAAUCUUCGGCAAUGUACGAAAGUCUGAACGAGCAACGCCGCGUGAGUGAAGAAGGUUUUCGGAUCGUAAAACGCUGUUGUUAGAGAAGCGGUAUCUAACCAGAAAGCCACGGCUAACUACGUGCCAGCAGCCGCGGUAAUAC
RNAcentral lists this ribosomal RNA (403 nucleotides) under uncultured bacterium. Its description in RNAcentral is "partial 16S ribosomal RNA". It matches the Rfam family "Bacterial small subunit ribosomal RNA", at positions 28 to 526 of the family's 1533-position model. The record is from RNAcentral.